GACAGAGGAUGCAAGCGUUAUCCGGAAUGAUUGGGCGUAAAGCGUCUGUAGGUGGCUUUUCAAGUCCGCCGUCAAAUCCCAGGGCUCAACCCUGGACAGGCGGUGGAAACUACCAAGCUGGAGUACGGUAGGGGCAGAGGGAAUUUCCGGUGUAGCGGUGAAAUGCGUAGAUAUCGGAAGGAACACCUGUGGCGAAAGCGGCUCACUGGACCACAACUGACGCUGAGGCACGAAAGCUAGGGGAGCAAACAGG
Molecule: ribosomal RNA, 253 nt
Filed under: uncultured bacterium
Lineage: Bacteria
Description: partial 16S ribosomal RNA
Rfam family: Bacterial small subunit ribosomal RNA
Source: RNAcentral